AUCUCUUGACUCUCUUCAUUACGCAUAAAUCUUUCGCCUUUUACUAAAGAUUUCCGUGGAGAGGGUCAAUUAAUGAGUCUAAAAUAAUUUUUGAAAUGCCUGACGAAAGUCGGGCAC
RNAcentral lists this small nuclear RNA (117 nucleotides) under Trialeurodes vaporariorum (greenhouse whitefly). RNAcentral describes it as "U5 spliceosomal RNA". It matches the Rfam family "U5 spliceosomal RNA". From Rfam's summary of the family: U5 RNA is a component of both types of known spliceosome. The precise function of this molecule is unknown, though it is known that the 5' loop is required for splice site selection and p220 binding, and that both the 3' stem-loop and the Sm site are important for Sm protein binding and cap methylation. The record is from RNAcentral. Lineage: Eukaryota; Metazoa; Arthropoda; Insecta; Hemiptera; Aleyrodidae.